UCUGCCCUAUUUCUGCUUCAAAGGAGACCAGAGGUUAAUUGUUGGGAGCUUCCACCAAUGACCAAGCUUGUUUGAGCACAGUGGACGCUGUAUGUGGUGCCCCUACGUCAAGUAACAUCUCCUGCGUGUGUUCUGAGCAGACGAUUGACAGACAAACACCUAUGACAUCACUUCCAGGUUCUGGACUCCUGAACCCACCACUUCUGCCUGCCUCGCUUUAAAAUCAGAGACAUCAUCAACCUCCAGUUGAAGGUGGUCCAGAGUGUGCCUCAUAACUGAUCCUGUCUUCUUAAUCAGCUUGUUGAUUUGGUGGGCUUCUCUUGAAGUGUUGAUACCAGGCCACCACACCACAGCACAGAAAAUCACACUGGCCGUGACAGAGUUAUAGAAGAUGUGAAGGAACGUCACCACCCACAUUUAAGUUACACAAUCCCUUAGAAAAAAAAGCCUGCCAGUCCAACCUGUCAUUGAUGUGGACCCCCAAGUACCUGUAGGAGUGGACCGCCUCUACAUAUUCACUCUCUGAACAGUGACCAGGUGUAGAGGCUCUUUGGAGCGGUGAAAGUCAGUAACCAAUUCUGAUGUUAAGAUGUGGCCACCUGACUCCUAUCCCCUGUCUCUACCACCUCAUCAAUACACCCCAUAAGUGCAGAAUCAUCGGUGAAUGUCUGCCAGUGCCCUGACCUGCUGUUAUAUUUAUGGUCGGAGGUGUACAGAGUGAAAAGAUGCAGGCAAGUCAGAUUUUUCACAGAUAAGGGUGUUGUCACUGCAGGGACCCAGUUAACCCUUUCCCAACAUAGACCUCAACUCAAACCUGGAUUAACUAGGCAGCAGCAUUAAUCACUGUGCCAACAUACCACCUCAAAUAUCACCUGAGUGGCUUAGUAGAUCGAUAAUCCAAGCUAAUCAACUUCCUGUCUAAUUCAGAAAUAAUGGCGAAACGAUUUAUCUGAGGUGCUACUCCUGAACGUAGAAAGGCAGUCGAUUUCAUGACAUCACAACUUCCUCUGAAUUUAAGUGUAUUUAAAAAAACUAAAAAGACUCUCAUAAGGCUUUGACUUUGGUAACAGUCAUUCAUAUACCAUCCUUUUUAAAAAAAAAUUUAAAAAAAUUAAAAAAUUGCAGUACAAGUGCUUGGUGUAGACAAGAGAGGAUGUGGGUAUGGGACAUGCGUGCUCCCCAACUCAAUACCACAGAGAAUUUGUUCCAUUUAAGCACAACCGUCUCAGACCACCACGUGCAUUACGGGAGCAGAUGAACAUCGGUUUCAGUUUGACGUGUGGGUGUGGUAGGAGGCAUAAUUAAAUAAAUUGAAGAUAAAGGGGCUUGCGUGACAUUUUUUGUAGUUUACAACAUUUGUUUAGUGAGUUGAAGCAACCCAGUUAUUCAAAAUGUGAGUGCACGUGCCUUUAUGAGAUGUGAAUUAUGAUGCUAAGCUGUAGGAGUCGAGUUUCAUGCCCUGGUUCACUCUCCAUUCCAAUGAUCAGAAGUACCUUAGUUAUGUCUCUGCAACCCAGCAAAACUGAAGAGUUAGGAACAAUUCAAACACUAAAUAACUUCAAGACAAACAUAUAAUUAUACACAUAAUUGUGCUUAA
Polypterus senegalus (gray bichir) is the source of this 1597-nucleotide long non-coding RNA. RefSeq lists it as uncharacterized. The record is from RefSeq and is a predicted model, not a curated record. The transcript has 3 exons. NCBI's taxonomy places the organism in Eukaryota, Metazoa, Chordata, Cladistia, Polypteriformes, Polypteridae.